Long non-coding RNA from Varroa destructor (honeybee mite), 358 nucleotides. RefSeq lists it as uncharacterized. The record is from RefSeq and is a predicted model, not a curated record. Lineage: Eukaryota; Metazoa; Arthropoda; Arachnida; Mesostigmata; Varroidae.
AAGGAUUAGUAGAAGAAAGUUCCGAGGCCAAGGUCGAAAGGAGAACUGCGAAGAAUGACGUCAACGACAACAACAACGGCAGUGACCAUUGAAACAAACGAACGGAGGGAAGCGGCGCCGUCUGGAUGGCUAAUUCGCAUCUCCUUGAAUAUCUUUCUUCGGCGACCGUAACCGACAAGCGUGCUUCCACAGUGAUUCAAAUCUUAACAUUGGUAAAGACGAACAGAGCCCAGGUCCAGACACGCUAUUACAUGAGAACGUUUCGACAGGAUGAAGUGGCGUUAGAGAACGCUUGACACUGAAGACGCGCGCUUCGACACAUACCGCGGACUUAUUUUGACAUGGGCCAGUCAUUCAA